This 1041-nucleotide ribosomal RNA is filed under the name uncultured bacterium. RNAcentral's name for it is "bacterial SSU rRNA". It matches the Rfam family "Bacterial small subunit ribosomal RNA", at positions 336 to 1393 of the family's 1533-position model. The record is from RNAcentral.
CUCCUAUGGGAGGCAGCAGUGGGGAAUAUUGGGCAAUGGGCGCAAGCCUGACCCAGCAACGCCGCGUGAAGGAAGAAGGCUUUCGGGUUGUAAACUUCUUUUAAGUGGGAAGAGUAGAAGACGGUACCACUUGAAUAAGCCACGGCUAACUACGUGCCAGCAGCCGCGGUAAUACGUAGGUGGCAAGCGUUGUCCGGAUUUACUGGGUGUAAAGGGCGUGCAGCCGGGCAUGCAAGUCAGAUGUGAAAUCUCAGGGCUUAACCCUGAAACUGCAUUUGAAACUGUAUGUCUUGAGUGCCGGAGAGGUAAUCGGAAUUCCUUGUAUAGCGGUGAAAUGCGUAGAUAUAAGGAAGAACACCAGUGGCGAAGGCGGAUUACUGGACGGUAACUGACGGUGAGGCGCGAAAGCGUGGGGAGCGAACAGGAUUAGAUACCCUGGUAGUCCACGCUGUAAACGAUGGAUACUAGGUGUGCGGGGACUGACCCCCUGCGUGCCGCAGUUAACACAAUAAGUAUCCCACCUGGGGAGUACGAUCGCAAGGUUGAAACUCAAAGGAAUUGACGGGGGCCCGCACAAGCGGAGGAACAUGUGGUUUAAUUCGAUGAUACGCGAGGAACCUUACCCGGGCUUGAAUUGCAGAGGAAGGAUUUGGAGACAAUGACGCCCUUCGGGGCCUCUGUGAAGGUGCUGCAUGGUUGUCGUCAGCUCGUGCCGUGAGGUGUCGGCUUAAGUGCCAUAACGAGCGCAACCCCUCUCCUUAGUUGCCAUCAGGUUAAGCUGGGCACUCUGGGGACACUGCCACCGUAAGGUGUGAGGAAGGUGGGGAUGACGUCAAAUCAGCACGGCCCUUACGUCCGGGGCUACACACGUGUUACAAUGGCAGGUACAGAGAGACGGUCCCUUGCAAAAUGGAUCAAAUCCUUAAAGCCUGUCUCAGUUCGGACUGGGGUCUGCAACCCGACCCCACGAAGCUGGAUUCGCUAGUAAUCGCGCAUCAGCCAUGGCGCGGUGAAUACGUUCCCGGGCCUUGUACACACCGC